UCGGUUGAUCCUGCCGGACCUGACUGCUAUCGGAUUGAUACUAAGCCAUGCGAGUCAUUGUAGUAAUACAAGGCAGACGGCUCAGUAACGCGUAGUCAACCUACCCUAUGGACGGGGAUAACCUCGGGAAACUGAGAAUAAUACCCGAUAGAACAUUAUGCCUGGAAUGGUUUAUGUUUCAAAUAAUUUAUUGCCGUAGGAUGGGACUGCGGCCUAUCAGUUUGUUGGUGAGGUAAUGGCCCACCAAGACUAUUACAGGUACGGGCUCUGAGAGGAGUAGCCCGGAGAUGGGUACUGAGACACGGACCCAGGCCCUAUGGGGCGCAGCAGGCGAGAAAACUUUGCAAUGUGCGAAAGCACGACAAGGUUAAUCCGAGUGGUUUCUGCUAAAGGAACCUUUUGUCAGUCCUAGAAACACUGAUGAAUAAGGGGUGGGCAAGUUCUGGUGUCAGCCGCCGCGGUAAAACCAGCACCUCAAGUGGUCAGGAUGAUUAUUGGGCCUAAAGCAUCCGUAGCCUGCUUUGUAAGUUUUCGGUUAAAUCCAUACGCUCAACGUAUGGGCUGCCGGGAAUACUGCAAAGCUAGGGAGUGGGAGAGGUAGACGGUACUCGGUAGGAAGGGGUAAAAUCCUUUGAUCUAUUGAUGACCACCUGUGGCGAAGGCGGUCUACCAGAACACGUCCGACGGUGAGGGAUGAAAGCUGGGGGAGCAAACCGGAUUAGAUACCCGGGUAGUCCCAGCUGUAAACUAUGCAAACUCAGUGAUGCAUUGGCUUGAUGCCAAUGCAGUGCUGCAGGGAAGCCGUUAAGUUUGCCGCCUGGGAAGUACNUACGCAAGUAUGAAACUUNAAAGGAAUUGGCGGG
Molecule: ribosomal RNA, 863 nt
Filed under: uncultured archaeon
Lineage: Archaea
Description: bacterial SSU rRNA
Rfam family: Archaeal small subunit ribosomal RNA
Source: RNAcentral